Lactuca sativa (garden lettuce) is the source of this 1666-nucleotide long non-coding RNA. RefSeq lists it as uncharacterized. The record is from RefSeq and is a predicted model, not a curated record. NCBI's taxonomy places the organism in Eukaryota, Viridiplantae, Streptophyta, Magnoliopsida, Asterales, Asteraceae.
UUUCCACUCUCUUCUGUAGAUCUCCCUUCAUUCUCUCCCCCCUUCUCUCUGCAAACCCUAAGGCAUUUCGUUACCACCACCAAACCCUAAAAACUCACCUUAUAUUAGGGAUAAACCACCCUGAUUAAAGGAAAAAUAUCAUAUCGAGGGUUAAUCUUAAUAUUGCUGACAAUAACUUUUUGGAGUCUAAAAGCCCUAAUAUCAGGUCAAACUAUGGGUUAUGUACAAUCAGAGCUUGAUGCUAAGGAAAGAGAAAGCGACCCAGCCUACCACGAAACCUAAAUCUAGGAAUGAAGCUAUGGAGGAGAAAGGGUUUGCUCUUCUUCUGAUUAGCUCAAAUACGGUUCAGGGGUUUAAUUCAUCCGAUUAGCUCAAAAAAAACCCUAGAGAAAUCCAAAACAUCAUCAACAAUAAACCGACAUCUUCUGCUAAAUCUCGCAUACGAAGCUUCGAUGGUUCCCGAUUAUCUCUAUUGAAAACCUCGAUAUGUCCACGUUAUCAUUAUUUGGUGAUGAUGGUUCCCGAUCGCCUGUGAAAUUGAAGCUUCGGGAGAAUCCAUUGGAUGGAUAAGAAGAGGCGAAGACAUGGAUUAAGUAGGGGAAGCUUUGGGGUUUUAAUUUAUGUUCACUUCAUUGGAUGGAUAAGAAGAGGCGAUGCAGAUUUUAUGCGACUCAAGGUAUUGAAACUGCAGGUGUUACAGCUAAGGGAAUGGGUAUGUUGGAGGGAUAACUUACCAGUUCUACAACGUUUAAUGGUUUAUCAUUGCUUAAAACUCAAGAGUAUCCCUUUGUAUGGCGGUGAUUGAGCCACAGUAUACUAUGUCUGGGAAUGUAAAGGUGUUGCUCGGAGUUGGAGAUCGUGUGUUGUUGGUAGAAGAAGAUGGAGUUCAAACUGUUGGUGAUAGAUUAGGAACUCUGCAGAAGAUGGUUAUCUCACAUAAUGGCAAGUUAAUGGUGUCAUUUACUCACGAUGGUCAGCUUCUUGUGAUGCCCACUGACUUCUCAAGCAUCAUCUUUGAGUACAGUUGUGAGCUCCAGAGCAACUUGUUUUGUGUGGAGUGGACAGUGUCUUGCUGUAUUAGGAUGAUAUGCUUCUGAUGGUGGGCCCUUAUGGAGAUCCAGUUUGUUAUCUUUAUGAUGAACCCAUUAUCCUUAUCCCAGAGUGUGAUGAAGCUAGGAUAUUGUCUAACUUAAACAUGGAGUUUCUUCAAUGGGUCCCAGCUUCUACUGAAUCUAUCUUUAAGAUUGGGAGCAUUGAACCAACAACUUUAUUGUAUGAUGCUUUGGAUCAUUUUGACAGGAGGAAUGCAAAGGUUGAUGAAAAUUUGAGGCUGAUAAAAACAUCGUUGCCUGAGGCUGUUGAAGUCUGUGUAGAUGCUGCAAGACAUGAGUUUGAUCAUUUUGACAGGAGGAAUGCAAAGGUAGGGUGUCACGUGCUCCUCACACUCACAACCCACCUUGAAGAAAAUCACGACCUAAAGAUCAUUCAGCUUAUGAGGAGCCUGUUACAUAAAUAUUAGAUGACUGUAUGCAAGAUGUUAUAGUCUACUACCCUUCAAGGGAUGACCAUGAUUCAGUUGCAGUUAUUUAUAGAGAGAUGGCCAUGAUUUAGUUGAGCUUUCUUGGACUACAUGAUAGCAAAUCAAUUUUUAAUAACGCUAAAAGGU